Molecule: long non-coding RNA, 575 nt
Filed under: Physcomitrium patens
Lineage: Eukaryota; Viridiplantae; Streptophyta; Bryopsida; Funariales; Funariaceae
Description: long non-coding RNA (PPAT_LNC008409)
Source: RNAcentral
AUUGAAUUAUAUGAGGAGUUAUUAAAAGAUUAAGAUUGUUGUUUAUUGAGAUCUGUGUGUGUUUUGACAGAGGAAGUUUGUAAUUAAAAAAAUUAUGUGAAUCUAGAUUGGUUAGAAUGAAGUCUAUUAUUUCUAGUGUUAGAUAGAAAUUAUGUAUUUUGAGCAGUCUUUUGAGAGUGCACGGUUGUACACUGUUGUUAUCAGUUGAUGAAAGAAUAUUGUUACUAGAUGAAAAUAUUGUAAUAUUUCUUAGUAUUUUAGUGGUUUGGAAUACAGUUAAUUGUGUGACCCUAAGAAGUAAAAUUCAUGCACUUAGUCUUUUCAUGUGUUUGAAUUCUCCUAAAAAGGUUUAUUCUGAAAGAAAUUGUAGAAUAAGUAAAACGAUAAUUAUAUUUUGGUACCACUGUCGGGAAUAGACAAUAGCAUUGAGUGUUAGAAAUUAACUAUGGAUUUAGUUUGAUGGGAGAUAGGAAGAAAAUUCAAUAGAAUAUAAUGACAAUAUGGUUAUUAAAAAUGAGAACUUAGCAGUAAAGAGAAUACGACAAUUGAAAGAAAGAAUAGAAAGAUCGCAAUCA